GACGAACGCUGGCGGCGUGCUUAACACAUGCAAGUCGAACGGUGAAGCUCCAGCUUGCUGGAGUGGAUCAGUGGCGAACGGGUGAGUAACACGUGAGCAACCUGCCCCUGACUCUGGAAUAAGCGCUGGAAACGGCGUCUAAUACUGGAUACGAGAAGGGUCCGCAUGGGCACUUUCUGGAAAGUUUUUCGGUUGGGGAUGGGCUCGCGGCCUAUCAGCUUGUUGGUGAGGUAAUGGCUCACCAAGGCGACGACGGGUAGCCGGCCUGAGAGGGCGACCGGCCACACUGGGACUGAGACACGGCCCAGACUCCUACGGGAGGCAGCAGUGGGGAAUAUUGCACAAUGGGCGAAAGCCUGAUGCAGCGACGCCGCGUGGGGGAUGACGGCCUUCGGGUUGUAAACCUCUUUCAGCAGGGAAGAAGCGAAAGUGACGGUACCUGCAGAAGAAGCACCGGCUAACUACGU
RNAcentral lists this ribosomal RNA (467 nucleotides) under uncultured bacterium. Its description in RNAcentral is "partial 16S ribosomal RNA". It matches the Rfam family "Bacterial small subunit ribosomal RNA", at positions 28 to 506 of the family's 1533-position model. The record is from RNAcentral.